Molecule: ribosomal RNA, 465 nt
Filed under: uncultured bacterium
Lineage: Bacteria
Description: SSU rRNA
Rfam family: Bacterial small subunit ribosomal RNA
Source: RNAcentral
AGAAUCAACGCUGGCGGCGUGCCUAACACAUGCAAGUCGAACGAGAAAGGGGUAGCAAUACCCUGAGUAAAGUGGCGCACGGGUGAGUAACACGUGACUAACCUACCCUUGAGUGGGGGAUAACUGAGGGAAACCUUAGCUAAUACCGCAUAAUACCCACGGGUCAAAGGAGCAAUUCGCUCGAGGAGGGGGUCGCGGCCGAUUAGUUAGUUGGCGGGGUAAUGGCCCACCAAGACGAUGAUCGGUAUCCGGCCUGAGAGGGCGCGACGGACGACGACUGGAACUGAAACACGGUCCAGACUCCUACGGGAGGCAGCAGUGGGGAAUUUUGCGCAAUGGGGGAAACCCUGACGCAGCAACGCCGCGUGGAGGAUGAAGUCCCUUGGGAUGUAAACUCCUUUCGAUCGGGACGAUUAUGACGGUACCGGAAGAAGAAGCACCGGCUAACUCUGUGCCAGCAGCCGC